CGGGCAGCGCUGCGUCCGUCUGUCCUUGCCGGAAGAAGGAGGAGGAGGAGUCUGGGGGCACCUCGAAGGCCUAACCGUUUUAUGGGGCCGGGAGAGCUUUCCUGGGCUGCCCGAGACCCCACUUCUGAGGUGGCGGGUGGCGUCUUGCUUCUUCUAAAAUGGCCGACCUCUUUGGAACCCGCCUGCAUUGAUAAAAGGAACGAAUUGGCUCCUUGUCAUAGGACCUCUCUGCAAACUGAUCAGAACAAACGCUCAAUAAAGGCUAGAUACAAUCUUAACUGCGUAAAUGUCCUGCAAGCAAGUCAGGAGGAAUCCUCAGUAAAUAGGAGGAGUCCUAAGAAGGGAGACCAAGUGUGGCCUUGAAGUUUCCCAUCAACACCACCUAGACAGACUGAGCAGGCACACAGAUUCACAGGUGUCCUCACCGUGGGCAUAAAAAGGACUGGGCCAUCCUUAGGAGUUGUAUGCAGCCCUGUGUAUCUUUUCAGGUGAUCCUGAAAUCCU
Podarcis raffonei (Aeolian wall lizard) is the source of this 504-nucleotide long non-coding RNA. RefSeq lists it as uncharacterized. Lineage: Eukaryota; Metazoa; Chordata; Lepidosauria; Squamata; Lacertidae. The transcript has 3 exons. The record is from RefSeq and is a predicted model, not a curated record.